UUUCAGUAAAAGACGCUGCGCUUGUCUAUGAUAACCUCGUGCCAAUCGCACAUCCCACUGACGGCGACAACACAUUCGGAUGUCUUCCCUAUCAUCUUUCGAUGCAAUUUUCCACGCCUACCAUGGUAACCAUGGGUAACAGGGAAUCAGGGUUCGAUUCUAAAGAGGGAGCCUGAGAAACGGCUACCACAUGCAACGAAAGGCAGCAGGUGCGCAAAUUAUCCACUUCCAAUGCGGGGAGGUAAUGACAA
Molecule: non-coding RNA, 251 nt
Organism: Pelobates cultripes (western spadefoot toad)
Lineage: Eukaryota; Metazoa; Chordata; Amphibia; Anura; Pelobatidae
Source: the annotation of a GenBank genome assembly